UCCGUAGGGUGCAAGCGUUGUCCGGAAUUAUUGGGCGUAAAGAGCUCGUAGGCGGUCUGUCGCGUCUGCUGUGAAAACUCGGGGCUUAACCCCGGGCCUGCAGUGGGUACGGGCAGACUAGAGUGCGGUAGGGGAGACUGGAAUUCCUGGUAUAGCGGUGAAAUGCGCAGAUAUCAGGAGGAACACCGAUGGCGAAGGCAGGUCUCUGGGCCACUACUGAUGCUGAGAAGCGAAAGCAUGGGGAGCGAACAGG
This 253-nucleotide ribosomal RNA is filed under the name uncultured bacterium. Its description in RNAcentral is "partial 16S ribosomal RNA". It matches the Rfam family "Bacterial small subunit ribosomal RNA", at positions 524 to 776 of the family's 1533-position model. The record is from RNAcentral.